Molecule: unclassified non-coding RNA, 686 nt
Filed under: uncultured Prochlorococcus sp.
Lineage: Bacteria; Bacillati; Cyanobacteriota; Cyanophyceae; Synechococcales; Prochlorococcaceae
Description: partial may contain 16S ribosomal RNA, 16S-23S ribosomal RNA intergenic spacer, and 23S ribosomal RNA
Rfam family: Bacterial small subunit ribosomal RNA (bases 1-97)
Source: RNAcentral
ACCCUUGUGGAGGAGGACGCCGAAGGUGGGGCUAAUGACUGGGGUGAAGUCGUAACAAGGUAGCCGUACCGGAAGGUGCGGCUGGAUCACCUCCUAACAGGGAGACAACAAAAUGUUUAAUAUUAUUAUUUUGUCACCUUAGGUCGAUCGGUAUCUCACGUUCUUAAUUAAUUAAGAAUUUCAUUUCCUAAGUUUUUCUAGGUCACACCCAUUAUUUUCCUGGGCCAUUAGCUCAGGUGGUUAGAGCGCACCCCUGAUAAGGGUGAGGUCCCUGGUUCAAGUCCAGGAUGGCCCAUCUCUCUAUGUUGGGGGUAUAGCUCAGUUGGUAGAGCGCCUGCUUUGCAAGCAGGAUGUCAGCGGUUCGAGUCCGCUUACCUCCACUGAUUACCACCUCUUCCAUAAUCUGUAGAAAGGAAAUGUUUUGAGUUGUGAUCAAAUUCUGAACGAAUCUAGCUUCCUAAUGAAAUCAUUAAGAUGCUGGACUCAUUGAAUAAAUUUCAUUGUUUUCAGAGAACCUUGACAACUGCAUAGAUUAUUUUUAAAGACAAUAAGCAUCUUGUAAUGAUGCAGAUUUAUUAUUUGUGCGAAUGCAUUAAUAACAAUUCUAUUAAGCUGAUGCUUCAAUUUUGAAGUUAUUGGUCAAGCUACAAAGGGCUCACGGAGGAUACCUAGGCACACAGAGGCGA